Lynx canadensis (Canada lynx) is the source of this 81-nucleotide long non-coding RNA. RefSeq lists it as uncharacterized. NCBI's taxonomy places the organism in Eukaryota, Metazoa, Chordata, Mammalia, Carnivora, Felidae. The transcript is spliced from 3 exons. The record is from RefSeq and is a predicted model, not a curated record.
CCUGGGUGGCUCAGCUGUAGAGCAUGAGACUCUUGAUCUCAAGGUCAUGAUUUUGAGCUCCACAUUAGGUACAGAGAAUCC